AUAAAGUUGUUACAACUUUUCUUUGCAUCUGUGAAGUUCUUGUGUAGAAAAUAAUAACCUCUUUACAAAACACUAUGAAUUGGUCGAUAAAUAGAGUAAGUGCUAUCGUUUAAACACAGUUUUGUAAUUCUCGUAUAAUAAAAUAACUUUGAAUAGCAAUUAUGAACCUAUUAUUCGGUAGUCUAUGAACCCGAUAAGAAGCCAAUUUUUAUGUAAACGCAUUUUUAACAUUAACUAAUAAGGGGCGACAGUAUAAAGAAGUGACGGAG
Non-coding RNA from Cinara cedri, 269 nucleotides. Lineage: Eukaryota; Metazoa; Arthropoda; Insecta; Hemiptera; Aphididae. The record is from the annotation of a GenBank genome assembly.